UACGAAGGGGGCAAGCGUUGUUCGGAAUUACUGGGCGUAAAGCGCGCGUAGGCGGCGUGUUAAGUUAGGGGUGAAAUCCUGGAGCUCAACUCCAGAACUGCCCUUGAUACUGACGGGCUCGAGUGUGGCAGAGGUUGGUGGAACGUGGAGUGUAGAGGUGAAAUGCGUAGAUAUCAGGCAGAACACCAGUUGCGAAGGCGGAUAACUAGCCCGUUACUGACGCUGAGGUACGAAAGCGUGGGGAGCAAACAGG
RNAcentral lists this ribosomal RNA (253 nucleotides) under uncultured bacterium. RNAcentral describes it as "partial 16S ribosomal RNA". It matches the Rfam family "Bacterial small subunit ribosomal RNA", at positions 524 to 776 of the family's 1533-position model. The record is from RNAcentral.